AACGAACGCUGGCGGCAGGCUUAACACAUGCAAGUCGAACGAGCUGGGACCUUCGGGUCCCGAUGCUAGUGGCGCACGGGUGAGUAACACGUGGGAAUAUGCCCUUUAGUACGGAAUAACUGAGGGAAACUUCAGCUAAUACCGUAUACGCCCUUCGGGGGAAAGAUUUAUCGCUAAAGGAUUAGCCCGCGUCUGAUUAGGUAGUUGGUGAGGUAAUGGCUCACCAAGCCGACGAUCAGUAGCUGGUCUGAGAGGAUGAUCAGCCACACUGGGACUGAUACACGGCCCAGACUCCUACGGGAGGCAGCAGUGGGGAAUAUUGGACAAUGGGGGCAACCCUGAUCCAGCCAUGCCGCGUGAGUGAAGAAGGCCUUCGGGUUGUAAAGCUCUUUCGACGGCGACGAUGAUGACGGUACCCGUAUAAGAAGCCCCGGCAAACUUCGUGCCAGCAGCCGCCGUAA
This 461-nucleotide ribosomal RNA is filed under the name uncultured bacterium. RNAcentral describes it as "partial 16S ribosomal RNA". It matches the Rfam family "Bacterial small subunit ribosomal RNA", at positions 29 to 523 of the family's 1533-position model. The record is from RNAcentral.